This 467-nucleotide ribosomal RNA is filed under the name uncultured bacterium. Its description in RNAcentral is "partial 16S ribosomal RNA". It matches the Rfam family "Bacterial small subunit ribosomal RNA", at positions 28 to 507 of the family's 1533-position model. The record is from RNAcentral.
GAUGAACGCUGACAGAAUGCUUAACACAUGCAAGUCCACUUGAAUUUGGGUUUUUAACUUAGGUUUGGGUGGCGGACGGGUGAGUAACGCGUAAAGAACUUGCCUCACAGCUAGGGACAACAUUUGGAAACGAAUGCUAAUACCUAAUAUUAUGAUAAUAGGGCAUCCUAUAAUUAUGAAAGCUAUAAGCGCUGUGAGAGAGCUUUGCGUCCCAUUAGCUAGUUGGAGAGGUAACGGCUCACCAAGGCGAUGAUGGGUAGCCGGCCUGAGAGGGUGAUCGGCCACAAGGGGACUGAGGCACGGCCCUUACUCCUACGGGAGGCAGCAGUGGGGAAUAUUGGACAAUGGACCAAGAGUCUGAUCCAGCAAUUCUGUGUGCACGAUGAAGUUUUUCGGAAUGUAAAGUGCUUUCAGUUGGGAAGAAAGAAAUGACGGUACCAACAGAAGAAGUGACGGCUAAAUACGUG